RNAcentral lists this long non-coding RNA (616 nucleotides) under Brachypodium distachyon (stiff brome). Its description in RNAcentral is "long non-coding RNA (BDIS_LNC000683)". Lineage: Eukaryota; Viridiplantae; Streptophyta; Magnoliopsida; Poales; Poaceae. The record is from RNAcentral.
AGAAUUUUCUAGAGUUUAAAAAUGCAUUUUAGGAUUUUAUUUGGGUUUAUUUAAAGCUUAGAAACAUUAAAACUAUUUUUACAAAUGUCUUUUUGAGUGGGAAUAAUUUUCCUCGACUCUAAAUGAAAUAUAUUAUUUUACAAAAAAAUUGGGAAUUUUUCUGAAGCCUUUUGUUAUUUUAAAUGAUUUAAAUGGAAUUUCGGGUGAAUUAUAGAUCCUCAAAAGUAUUUUAUAAUCUUUUUCUUUUAUUCUUUUUCUUUUUCUCUGAAAAUACGCUUUCUCCGCGGGAACACGUAUUCACGGAGAAAUACGCUUUCACUUAAAACCCUGAAGGGUUAUCUUCUAAUCUCGGCCGUUCAUCUCAGAUCCAACGGUCACAUUUUUUUUCCUAUCUCUCUCUCUCUCACUGACGUGUGGGGCCCACGCGUCAUCCGCUACCUCUUGCCAUUCCGCCCACGUCGCCAGCGGCCGCGUUUUCCGGCCCAACCGCCGCGCCUGCCUGCGCGCUUCCCCGCGCCAACCCCGCGCCCGCGCGCACGCCUGCACCACCCCGCGCCCGCGCCUGCCUUCCCGCCUGCCCUCGCCGCCGCCCGCCGCGCGCGCCCGCACCCGCCUU